This is a long non-coding RNA of Manacus vitellinus (golden-collared manakin), 705 nucleotides long. RefSeq lists it as uncharacterized. Lineage: Eukaryota; Metazoa; Chordata; Aves; Passeriformes; Pipridae. The record is from RefSeq and is a predicted model, not a curated record. The transcript has 5 exons.
AUUCAUGCUCAACUCAUUCCCAGGGAUUAGGAUUAAAACCACGCGAAGUUACUUUGUUUAUUUGUAUUUUUAAUCCUCUUUGGGUACUACCAUUAAUACUCAGUUCAUCAGUGUGCACAGCUCCCUGCUGAAUUGGGAUGAGCUGGCUGAGUCAGCUGACAGAAGGAAGAGAGGAAUCGAGUUUGACAGCAGCACAGACUUACUUUGGCUUAAGGUGGAAGAAAGUGUUCGCUCUUUCCAAGUGACCUAAAAGCAUCUGGAAAAGUGAAGAUAGAGGAUUGGGGUCACAAAAACUCCGUGUGGGUUUAGCAUCCUUGAAAACGCCAGGAAUGGAGUAAUUGGAUGGCUGGUACAGGCUGUGGAUGCAGCUCUUUCAUCACUGCCCCCAGUGAAUGGAAUUCUUUCCCUUCUACAUUUAAAUCUAAUACAGACCUUCAGAUUUCGCUGUGGAUGGUUUCACCUCUGAGCUGAGCAGCAGCCCGAGAGAGCUUCACCUCUGCUGGCGUAUGGAAAACCCUCUGAGGCUCCAGGUGCUGUGGAGCUUGUAUUUGCCUUCUGCAAAAUGCUUCUGGAAUUUUAGGAUGAUUUACAUCAACAUAUCCCUCUGCCACUGCGCCAGGAGGAGUGGUGAGGGUGCCUGAAACACUCUGCAGGGAUAAGGACACAGGAGAACCACACUCAGAAACCAGGAGGAGAGUCCCCACG